Molecule: ribosomal RNA, 466 nt
Filed under: uncultured bacterium
Lineage: Bacteria
Description: partial 16S ribosomal RNA
Rfam family: Bacterial small subunit ribosomal RNA
Source: RNAcentral
GAUGAACGCUGGCGGCGUGCUUAACACAUGCAAGUCGAACGGAAAGGCUCCUGCUUGCAGGGGUACUCGAGUGGCGAACGGGUGAGUAACACGUGGGUGAUCUGCCCUGCACUUCGGGAUAAGCCUGGGAAACUGGGUCUAAUACCGGAUAGGACGAUGGUUUGGAUGCCAUUGUGGAAAGUUUUUCGGUGUGGGAUGAGCUCGCGGCCUAUCAGCUUGUUGGUGGGGUAAUGGCCUACCAAGGCGUCGACGGGUAGCCGGCCUGAGAGGGUGUACGGCCACAUUGGGACUGAGAUACGGCCCAGACGCCUACGGGAGGCAGCGGUGGGGAAUAUUGCACAAUGGGCGCAAGCCUGAUGCAGCGACGCCGCGUGGGGGAUGACGGCCUUCGGGUUGUAAACUCCUUUCGCUAGGGACGAAGCGUUUUGUGACGGUACCUGGAGAAGAAGCACCGGCUAACUACGUG